RNAcentral lists this ribosomal RNA (494 nucleotides) under uncultured bacterium. Its description in RNAcentral is "partial 16S ribosomal RNA". It matches the Rfam family "Bacterial small subunit ribosomal RNA", at positions 28 to 507 of the family's 1533-position model. The record is from RNAcentral.
GACGAACGCUGGCGGCGUGCCUAAUACAUGCAAGUAGAACGCUGAAGGAGGAGCUGCUCCUUCGGGUGAAGUGGGAAACGGGUAAGAACCCGUUGGUUACCCUGCCUGGUGGGGGGGAAUAACUUUGGAAAAGAUAGCCUAAUACCGAAUAACGGAGGAGGUGCAUGGACUUUGCUUAAAAGGGUCAAUUUCACCACUACCAAGUGGGACUGCGUUGUAUUUGCUAGUUGGUGGGGUAACGGCUCACCAAGGCGACGAUACAUAGCCGACCUGAGAGGGUGAUCGGCCACACUGGGACUGAGACACGGCCCAGACUCCUACGGGAGGCAGCAGUAGGGAAUCUUCGGCAAUGGACGGAAGUCUGACCGAGCAACGCCGCGUGAGUGAAGAAGGUUUUCGGAUCGUAAAGCUCUGUUGUAAGAGAAGAACGAGUGUGAGAGUGGAAAGUUCACACUGUGACGGUAUCUUACCAGAAAGGGACGGCUAACUACGUG